UACGUAGGUGGUUUUCUAAGCACGGGGUUUAAGGCAAUGGCUUAACCCUUGUUCGCCUUGUGAACUGGAAGACUUGAGUGCAGGAGAGGAAAGCGGAAUUCCUAGUGUAGCGGUGAAAUGCGUAGAUAUUAGGAGGAACACCAGUGGCGAAGGCGGCUUUCUGGACUGUAACUGACACUGAGGUACGAAAGCGUGGGGAGCAAACA
Molecule: ribosomal RNA, 206 nt
Filed under: uncultured bacterium
Lineage: Bacteria
Description: partial 16S ribosomal RNA
Rfam family: Bacterial small subunit ribosomal RNA
Source: RNAcentral